GUCGGGCGUGGAGGCGCACACCUGUAAACCCAGUGGCUCGGGAGACUGAGGCAGGAGGAUCACAAGUUCAAAGCCAGCCUCAGCAAAGGUGAAGUGCUAAGCAACUCUGUGAGACCCUGUCUCUA
RNAcentral lists this small RNA (125 nucleotides) under Marmota monax (woodchuck). The record is from RNAcentral. Lineage: Eukaryota; Metazoa; Chordata; Mammalia; Rodentia; Sciuridae.